AGUGAACGCUGGCGGUAGGCCUAACACAUGCAAGUCGAACGGCAGCACAGUAAGAGCUUGCUCUUACGGGUGACGAGUGGCGGACGGGUGAGGAAUACAUCGGAAUCUACUUUUUCGUGGGGGAUAACGUAGGGAAACUUACGCUAAUACCGCAUACGACCUACGGGUGAAAGCAGGGGAUCUUCGGACCUUGCGCGAUUGAAUGAGCCGAUGUCGGAUUAGCUAGUUGGCGGGGUAAAGGCCCACCAAGGCGACGAUCCGUAGCUGGUCUGAGAGGAUGAUCAGCCACACUGGAACUGAGACACGGUCCAGACUCCUACGGGAGGCAGCAGUGGGGAAUAUUGGACAAUGGGCGCAAGCCUGAUCCAGCCAUACCGCGUGGGUGAAGAAGGCCUUCGGGUUGUAAAGCCCUUUUGUUGGGAAAGAAAAGCAGCAGGUUAAUACCCCGCUGUUCUGACGGUACCCAAAGAAUAAGCACCGGCUAACUUCGUG
This 492-nucleotide ribosomal RNA is filed under the name uncultured bacterium. RNAcentral describes it as "partial 16S ribosomal RNA". It matches the Rfam family "Bacterial small subunit ribosomal RNA", at positions 29 to 507 of the family's 1533-position model. The record is from RNAcentral.